This 578-nucleotide ribosomal RNA is filed under the name uncultured bacterium. RNAcentral describes it as "bacterial SSU rRNA". It matches the Rfam family "Bacterial small subunit ribosomal RNA", at positions 63 to 515 of the family's 1533-position model. The record is from RNAcentral.
CGAACGGUUCAGUGCCUAACACCGAGUAUUUUAGGAGCUCGUAAGUUGGUGAGAGCGAGAGCGCGAAGAAUGAGCGCUCCACGCAAUCAAAAAGUACCAACAGAACUCAAAGAAUGAUCGGUGUUAGGUGCUGGAUAGUGGCGGACGUGUGAGUAACGCGUGGAUAACCUACCCAUGAGAUCGGGACAACCCUUGGAAACGAGGGCUAAUACCGGAUAGCCUUUGACCCUGGCAUCAGGGACAAAGGGAAGGUGGCCUCUGAAAAUGCUACCGCUGAUGGAUGGAUCCGCGUCUGAUUAGCUAGUUGGUGGGGUAAAGGCCUACCAAGGCGACGACCAGUAGCCGGCCUGAGAGGGUGAACGGCCACACUGGGACUGAGACACGGCCCAGACUCCUACGGGAGGCAGCAGUGGGGAAUCUUCCGCAAUGGACGAAAGUCUGACGGAGCAACGCCGCGUGUACGAUGAAGGCCUUCGGGUUGUAAAGUACUGUCUUCAGGGACGAAUGGUAGGGGUGUAAAUAAUGCCUUUACAUGACGGUACCUGAGAGGAAGCCCCGGCUAACUACGUGCCAGCAGC